GUCAUGGUGAAUCUAAAUAUUUCUUCUAAGGCUGGAGACUCACAUAUUGUUUGAUUUCUUGGUGUACUGAACCAAAGUCAUGGACCCAGGAUAAGGAAGAGAAUGAAUUUAGAGACGAAGUAAGGAAGGACAAACAAUACAUGUUAAUAGUUUCAUAAGAAUACGUCUCAUACCUACACUGGCCCAAUAUAUUAUGAUAGAACCCAAGCAAGACCAUUUGGAAUAAAAAGUUUCUCAAAAACCACUGUCAAGGGACUUCCCUGGUGGUCCAGUGGUUAAGAAACCACCUUCCAAUGCAGGGGACAUGGAUUUAAUCCCUGUUCUGGGAACUAAGAUUUCACAUGCUGAGAGGCAACUAACCUGUGUGGCUGCAACUACUGAGCCCCUGGGCCGCAACUAGAGAGCCUAUGUGGCAGCUGUGAGCCCAUGUGGCAGCUGUGGAGCUCACGUGCUCUGGAUCGCAACUAGAGAGCCCACGUGCCACAGCUGUGGAGCUCACGUGCUCUGGAUCGCAACUAGAGAGCCCACGUGCCACGGCUGUGGAGCUCACGUGCUCUGGACUGCACACCAAAGCUAGGGAGAAGACCACAUGCCACAACCAAGACCUGAUGCAGUUGUAAAUAAAUAAAUAAAAAAAGAAACCAAGAUCCAGAAAUUCUAUCAAAAUGCACUUCUGAAGGCUGCUGGAGUGCAAAGCUUCCAGAACACACUGAUGAAAAAAGGCUGGAAUGGAUAUCUGACUUCGGCUCUGCCAGCCGGAUGGAGCAAGAGAAGCAGAAAAACACACUGCGUGGAGAAUCUUUCUAGUGUCAACAGCAUCCUUGGGGCUGCGGUUUCCAGAGGCAGUGGCUGUGGAGCCAGUGCCACACCCAGUGUCCAGAGAGAGCUGCAGUGGUGGCUCAAAGCACAGGACCACUGUUUUACGGUGGCAAGAAGGGCAGCCUCGACUCCCUUGGCUGUGUAGUCUGCUUUGGGCUGUAGUUUUUCUGCUUUGCCUCCCUUUCUUUCUGCCUUUUACGAGUCUGGUUCCUCCACCCAAAAUUUUUGUAAACUCCUCAAUAUAUCCUGUCAUAAAUACCUUUCCUGUUUUAUCAGCCGUAAUUCUUGCGACUAAAGGACCGCGUUUACAUCAAUAGUGCUCAUGUUUGAGUUGGAAGGUUAGGGUAGAGUGUGAAGGGUCUCAUAUGUCAUGCCACAUGUUUUUUCACAGUGAAGACUUUAAAAUAUGAGAAUGUUGUGAUCAUAUUUGUAUUUUAAAAAUAGUUCUCUUGUCUGUUUGAGCUUGGUAGGAAGGAUAGAGAUGAGCAUGCCAGGUAGAAGACUAUUGUGAUGGUCAAGUGAGAGAUAAUAAUGGCUUUAAAAGAAAGGGGCAGUUAGAAGGAGAGAGGAAAAGGAGAUUUGAGAGGUUUUCUGGAAGCUAAAUGUAUUGGUUUGCUGACUCACAGAGUGGGGUAGAGGAAGAAGUUGCUGAUGUCUUUGAGGCUACUCAGUUGGAUGAACAGAUGGAUAUAUAGGUGCUGGGGCCAUUGACGAAGUAAGCUAAAGAGGUUUGGGUGUAUGCUGAAUUAUUGAACUUAAGGUGUACUUGGAGAUAGUCAGUAAGUUACAUUUCUAAAUCAACAGAAUAUUUCUUUCAAACGACCUAUUGCAGGGAAUUCCAGUUUAUAAAACAUUUGAAAAUAGGCUCUGGCUAAAGUAGGUAGGGAGCCUAGAAAUCCUACCUUUUGGGACUGCCCCCUCGAUUCUGAAGAAGGGCCUCAAGGUCCAUCCUCAGAAUGCCAAGUCUCCAGGUGUAAUAGACACCUGUAUAUAGAGACUGUGGAUCUGUGAGUGUAGAUCCACAGCCUCUCUCCAAAGCCCCCAGUGCUUGUGCUUACCCAUGGGUUUGCCUUGUUUCUCUUUUGCCUCCCAUUGCUGCUGGCAGUGCUGUGUACGCACCCGCCACUGCUACCAGGAAACCCUCC
Molecule: long non-coding RNA, 1964 nt
Filed under: Bos indicus x Bos taurus (hybrid cattle)
Lineage: Eukaryota; Metazoa; Chordata; Mammalia; Artiodactyla; Bovidae
Description: lncRNA (ENSBIXG00000017454.1)
Source: RNAcentral